Molecule: ribosomal RNA, 410 nt
Filed under: uncultured bacterium
Lineage: Bacteria
Description: bacterial SSU rRNA
Rfam family: Bacterial small subunit ribosomal RNA
Source: RNAcentral
ACUCCUACGGGAGGCAGCAGUGGGGAAUCUUAGACAAUGGGCGCAAGCCUGAUCUAGCCAUGCCGCGUGAGUGAUGAAGGUCUUAGGAUCGUAAAGCUCUUUCGCCAGGGAUGAUAAUGACAGUACCUGGUAAAGAAACCCCGGCUAACUCCGUGCCAGCAGCCGCGGUAAUACGGAGGGGGUUAGCGUUGUUCGGAAUUACUGGGGCGUAAAGCGCGCGUAGGCGGAUUGGAAAGUUGGGGGUGAAAUCCCAGGGGCUCAACCCUGGAACUGCCUCCAAAACUCCCAGUCUUGAGUUCGAGAGAGGUGAGUGGAACUCCGAGUGUAGAGGUGAAAUUCGUAGAUAUUCGGAAGAACACCAGUGGCGAAGGCGGCUCACUGGCUCGAUACUGACGCUGAGGUGCGAAAGU